This is a non-coding RNA of Phalacrocorax carbo (great cormorant), 424 nucleotides long. The record is from RefSeq and is a predicted model, not a curated record. Lineage: Eukaryota; Metazoa; Chordata; Aves; Suliformes; Phalacrocoracidae.
AGUGACCUUCAGGAGUAAAAAAGAUGUGCUUCUCAGGUUCACACUAGAAGUCUGGUCUGCAAGUGCUUAUAGAAACAACUGUGCGUGGUGUCAACAGUGAAGCAAAGUAUUGCCCCUUUCCCUCCUGCCUUGGAACCACAGAUAUCUAUAGCACCCACUUCAGGGAUGAUUGUUUAAAGAGCUCUGCACUCAAAGGGACCAGAUUUCUAAAUGGCUCGGCACUCUUUGGGAACUAUUUAUUCUCCUAGAAGCAUGAAGAGAUAUGCACCGGGUGAGCCAGCAGGGCAUACUCCCACCCACUGCAACACAGAGGAGUGUGCCCUCCCGAAAACUUGUGAACAAAUAAUGUCUCCAGAAGAUGUCUGAUGUAGUGUAAACAAUGGCAGAAGCAGGCCAAGCUGGAAGAAAAAAAAAAAAAAGGCAA